UACGUAGGGUGCAAGCGUUAAUCGGAAUUACUGGGCGUAAAGCGUGCGCAGGCGGUGAUGUAAGACAGUUGUGAAAUCCCCGGGCUCAACCUGGGAACUGCAUCUGUGACUGCAUCGCUGGAGUGCGGCAGAGGGGGAUGGAAUUCCGCGUGUAGCAGUGAAAUGCGUAGAUAUGCGGGGGAACACCGAUGGCGAAGGCAAUCCCCUGGGCCUGCACUGACGCUCAUGCACGAAAGCGUGGGGAGCAAACAGG
Molecule: ribosomal RNA, 253 nt
Filed under: uncultured bacterium
Lineage: Bacteria
Description: partial 16S ribosomal RNA
Rfam family: Bacterial small subunit ribosomal RNA
Source: RNAcentral